ACGGGCAUAGCUCAGCUGGUAGAGCGCUGGUCUCCAAAACCAGAGGUCGCGAGUUCGAUCCUUGCUGCCCGUGCCA
This 76-nucleotide transfer RNA is filed under the name Candidatus Nomurabacteria bacterium. RNAcentral describes it as "tRNA-Trp". It matches the Rfam family "tRNA". Rfam says of the family: Transfer RNA (tRNA) molecules are approximately 80 nucleotides in length. Their secondary structure includes four short double-helical elements and three loops (D, anti-codon, and T loops). Lineage: Bacteria; Candidatus Nomuraibacteriota. The record is from RNAcentral.